Molecule: ribosomal RNA, 510 nt
Filed under: uncultured Verrucomicrobiota bacterium
Lineage: Bacteria; Pseudomonadati; Verrucomicrobiota
Description: bacterial SSU rRNA
Rfam family: Bacterial small subunit ribosomal RNA
Source: RNAcentral
GGCGGCGUGGAUAAGAAUGCAAGUCGAACGGGAUAUUAUUUGUAGCAAUACAAAUGAUGUCCAGUGGCGUAAGGGUGCGUAACACGUGGGGAAUCUGCCGAGAAGUGGGGGAUAGCUCGUCGAAAGGCGAAUUAAUACCGCAUGUGGUUAGGGAAGACAUCUUUCCGACACCAAAGCCGGGGCAACCUGGCGCUUCUUGAUGACCCCGCGGCCUAUCAGCUAGUUGGUGAGGUAACGGCUCACCAAGGCUAUGACGGGUAGCUGGUCUGAGAGGACGACCAGCCACACUGGAACUGAGACACGGUCCAGACACCUACGGGUGGCAGCAGUCGAGAAUUUUUCUCAAUGGGGGAAACCCUGAAGGAGCGACGCCGCGUGGAGGAUGAAGGUCUUCGGAUUGUAAACUCCUGUCAUUAGGGAACAAGUUGCAUGUGUUAACUGCAUAUGCAUUGAUAGUACCUGAAGAGGAAGAGACGGCUAACUCUGUGCCAGCAGCCGCGGUAAUACAGA